RNAcentral lists this ribosomal RNA (581 nucleotides) under uncultured bacterium. RNAcentral's name for it is "partial 16S ribosomal RNA". It matches the Rfam family "Bacterial small subunit ribosomal RNA", at positions 355 to 1376 of the family's 1533-position model. The record is from RNAcentral.
UAAGGAAUAUUGGUCAAUGGACGCAAGUCUGAACCAGCCAUGCCGCGUGAAGGAUUAAGGUCCUCUGGAUUGUAAACUUCUUUUAUCUGGGACGAAAAAAGGCGAUUCUUCGUCACUUGACGUGUACCAGAUGAAUAAGCACCGGCUAACUCCGUGCCAGCAGCCGCGGUAAUACGGAGGGUGCAAGCGUUAUCCGGAUUCACUGGGUUUAAAGGGUGCGUAGGCGGGCAGGUAAGUCAGUGGUGAAAUCCUAGAGCUUAACUCUAGAACUGCCAUUGAUACUAUCUGUCUUGAAUAUUGUGGAGGUAAGCGGAAUAUGUCAUGUAGCGGUGAAAUGCUUAGAUAUGACAUAGAACACCUAUUGCGAAGGCAGCUUACUACGCAUAUAUUGACGCUGAGGCACGAAAGCGUGGGGAUCAAACAGGAUUAGAUACCCUGGUAGUCCACGCCCUAAACGAUGAUUACUCGACAUUUGUGAUACACUAUAAGUGUCUGAGCGAAAGCAUUAAGUAAUCCACCUGGGGAAGUACGACCGCAAGGUUGAAACUCAAAGGAAUUGACGGGGUCAUAGCUGUUUCCUG